GGACUUCUCUCGCCUCGCCUGAGUGUUUGACUAUUGACUAUUGAUUGCAUACUUUUAGGCGCCAGGGGACUUAAUGCAGAAAAGAGAAGUCCACAUACCAAGGCCUAUAACCAAGGCCAUGAUGGGGACUUCUCUUCUCAUACACAACACACACACGUCUCGACGGACGCGCGCGCUCACCACCAUGAUGAUGAUGAGCGCGCGGCCGGAUGAUAACCACCGCACCGCACUCGCGCGCCGCCGCCACCACCAGCACACAACACACUUCGUGGGCCGUGGGGGGCGCGCAACCUCCAAGCAAGGGGUAGUCUGAGAGGAUCGAAAUGUACACCUCUCUGCAACUCGCAACUCCCAGCCUGUAAACCUAUCGUUUGUAGGAGGUCUCAGGUAUCGAAAUCAUAUAUUGAUGCUGAGCAGCGCCACCAGCGUUCCAGUAUCCCAGAUACUUGCUGUACGACGCCGCGCGCAAGGGCUUUGUCUGCGUGCAU
Long non-coding RNA from Ochlerotatus camptorhynchus, 488 nucleotides. RefSeq lists it as uncharacterized. The transcript is spliced from 2 exons. The record is from RefSeq and is a predicted model, not a curated record. NCBI's taxonomy places the organism in Eukaryota, Metazoa, Arthropoda, Insecta, Diptera, Culicidae.